This 2852-nucleotide long non-coding RNA is filed under the name Sus scrofa (pig). Its description in RNAcentral is "lncRNA (ENSSSCG00025000799.1)". The record is from RNAcentral. Lineage: Eukaryota; Metazoa; Chordata; Mammalia; Artiodactyla; Suidae.
GGGGGUGACUGUUUCCAAGCUCAUUCAGAUCUUUAGACUAACUCAUUUCCUUGCGGCUAUAGGACUGGCCAUUAUUCCUGCUGUUUUACUGGCUGGUGACCACAGGCUGCCCUCAGGUCAUAGAAGCUGCCCAUAGGUCCUUGCCACAGGGCCAUCUCCAAAAUGGCUACUUAUUUUAUUAAGCCUGCAAAGAGAAUCUCUGACCUCAGGGUUAAGUCAGAUCCAUCCAGGAUAAACUCUCUUUUGGUUAACUCAGAGAUAAUUGAUUGGAGGCCUUAUGUCCAUCUCCACAAUUAUUUCACUGUUGCCAUAUUCUAAUGGCUAGAAGCAUGUCCCAGGUCUCGUCCACACCCAAGGGCAGAGGGCUGUACAGGGCAUGAACAGCAGGGGGGCAGGAAUCAUGGGGCCCACCCAAGGGUCUGUCUGAAUGUCCUCUAAGGCUUUUCCUUCAGCUACAAACUCAACAGAGAACAUAUUCCUCUGAAUGGAAUAAAUAGUGUAGACACUUGAAAUACAAACUUGAAAGCCUUUCAGGGCCCACAGCUCUGAUAGAAGUCAUCAAGGGCCAUGUGGACAGUCUUUGGUCUUCUCUGCCCUGGCCCUGGCCCAUUCACUAGAUAUAUUUCUAUAUUAAUAUGCCAAGUGUCUCUGGGGCUGGAAACUCCAAUAAUUAUGAUGUACUGAUCUGUACAGGUCAGGAUUUCAUUAGUGGUUAAGUCUACAGGUAAACUUUCUGUGGCAAUAUGACUUUUUUCAUUGCACUCAUUUUCGAGUCACAUUUGCCUUUGGGGUCAGGUGAGAUCGGCUACUUCAACAGGCAGAUGAAUUAUUAAAGAUGCUGAACUUUAACCAGCACAGCCAUGCCUUUCUCAAGUAUUUAUGAGAAGGGGGGUGAAUCAGCUCUAGGUCACUUGCUCCUGUUAUUCAUCUGGAAGUGGAGCCCAUGCAUUUAAGUUCGACUGCCCACCAUGCCUAACUUGGAACUCCUGGCCAGAGUACCCUGAAAAGAUGCUGUUUCCUUCAUGUGGGUGUCAGCAGAGAGGUAUAUGGAGCAGGGCUCAUUUCUUUCCAGAUUCUGUGCCUCUUUAUACUCUCCUUUUAUUUUCCAAAGCUAUGUAAAGCUGAAUUGUUGAGUCGCACUUGACUUAAGUACCCCUUUCAUACUCCCUGGAGUUCUGAGAAACGUGUGGCAAGGCAAACACACACACACACACACACCUGUGCACAUGCCUGUGAUGUGAGUAAAUGUAGUGUCACAUCACCCAGAAAUACAUACAUGGACCAAAUUUGUCUUUGCUGCCUCCAGUCUAUCUCUGUCCCUCACUACUGCAAACUUGGUGUCCAAUCUUUUACCACUAUGAUUAUAAUGACAUUAAUAAUAAUAAUAAUACCUAACAUUUAUUCAGGCAAAUUUACCAGGUACUGUGCUAAAUGAUUUUCAUGCAUAAUGAUUGCAUCUGUUUCCUAGAACAACCUCUGAGAAAUUACUAUUAUCCCUUUUUUUUUUUUUUGCUAUAUUCUUGUAGCUUAUUUUAUACCUAACAGUUUGUACCUCUUGAGGUUUUCCUUUUUUCUUACUGAUAAAAUGUGCUGUUUGAAAAAUCUAACACUGUGUUAAAAAAAAAAAGAAACCCCAAAUUGUAGGAGCUUGAAGAACUAUUCGCAUCUCUCCUGGGUCUGGGAUGGGCUCAGAUGGGGGAUUCUCACGUGAAGUCUCAUGCAGUUGAAUUCAGGCAGUGACUGAAGCUGGAGUCACCUGAGACUUGACAGGGCUUUCAGAUGACUUCUUCUGUGGCUAGCAACUGGUUGGGAGCUCAACUAGAGGCUGUCAAGAAGAGUCUUACACUAGACAACUCCAUGAGUCUUGGGCUUCUCACAGCACUGCAAUCUCUCUCUCUUUUUUUUUUUUAAUUUUGAUGAUUUUAAUUUUUUUCCAUUAUAGCUGGUUUACAGUGCUCUGUCAGUUUUCUACUGUACAGCCAGGUGACCCAGUCACACAUACAUAUGUAUUUAUACAUUCUUCUUUUUUCUCACAUUAUUAUGCUCCAUCAUAAGUGACUAGAUAUAGUUCCCAGUGCUAGACAGCAGGAUCUCAUUGCUUACCCAUUCCAAAGGCAAUAGUUUGCAUCCAUUAACCCUAAAUUCCCAGUCCAUCCCACUCCCUCCCCCUCCCCCUUGGCAACCACAAGUCUGUUCUCCAAGUCCAUGCCUUUCUUUUCUGUGGAAAGGUUCAUUUGUGUUGUAUAUUAGAUUCCAGAUAUAAGUGAUAUCAUAUGGUAUUUGUCUUUCUCUUUCUUACUUACUUCACUUAGUAUAAGAGUCUCUAGUUCCAUCCAUGUUGCUGCAAAUGGCAUUGUUUUGUUCUUUUUGUUAGCUGAGUAGUAUUCCAUUGUGAAUAUAUACCCCAUCUUCUUAAUCCAUUCAUCUGUCGAUGGACAUUUAGGUUGUUUCCAUAUCUUGGCUAUUGUCAAUAGACAGCACUGCAGUCUCAAAGUAGAAGAACCUUUCACUUGGUACUUGGCUUCUAAGAUGGCGCAUCGAAAGAGUGAGGGUUCCAAUAGCACCAGGCAGAAGCUUCAAUUCUUUGGACCUAGUCUGGGAAGUCACUUAGUAACUUUGCUUGGUCAACUAGGUCACCAGACCAGACCAGAGUCAAGAAGAGAAUUAGACUUUACUUUUCAGUCGGAAGGGUGCCGUAGAAUCGGCAGCCAUCUUUAAUCUGGUUCAUGUUCUUCCACCAAAGCCUUAACAUGAUCCAGCAUCUCAACUGCAUUAUCUGUUCCUUGCGAUUAACUCAUCCUGGAGACAUCCUUCCCUGCCAGCGCCGUUUGACUGCCUUUUCUAAUAUAAAC